This 1835-nucleotide long non-coding RNA is filed under the name Pan troglodytes (chimpanzee). RNAcentral describes it as "long non-coding RNA NONPTRT013065". Lineage: Eukaryota; Metazoa; Chordata; Mammalia; Primates; Hominidae. The record is from RNAcentral.
UCUGACCACCGGUGCAUGCAGCCCCUGUCAUGUAACGCCUGCUUGCUCAAAUCAAUCACGAUCCUUUCAUGUGAAAUCUUUAGUGUUGUGAGCCCUUAAAAGGGACAGAAAUUGUGCAUUUGGGGAGCUCGGAUUUUAAGGCAGUAGCUUGCUGAUGCUCCCAGCUGAAUAAGUCCCUUCUUUCUACAACUCGGUGUCUUGAGUUUUGUCUGCGGCUCCUCCUGUUAUAUUUCUUGGCUCCCUGACUGGGAAGCAACGUGAUUGACAGACAGCUGAGGCAGCCCCUUAGGCAACUUAAGCCUGGCUUGUGGAGUGCCCCUGUGGGGGACUCCAGCCAGCCUGAGUGACAUGAUCCAAAGAGCCCUCCUGGGUAGGAAAUUGCCCCGGUGGAAUGCCUCACCAGAGAAGCAGGUAGCAGGCCCUCACAGAGGAUUAACACAGUGGCUGAACACCAGGAAGGAACUGGCACUUGGAGUCCAGACAUCUAAAAUUUGGUACUGCGAAGGUCAUGAGACGCCUGAGAAGGCCUGAACUACAGCUGUCUGGGCACCUAGUGAAGGUUAUAAGGCAAACCAGUGCAAGGCUCUUUUGAGCAAAACCUAGAUAACAGACAUCUAGGUUGCAAAGCAACAGUCAUGUGUAAUCCCGAGUUAUGAACUGUCACAAUUUGAUUAAUUGUUCUCCCUCUGUAUCUCUGCUUUCAUGCCACUGUAAGCCUACAUCAAGUUAGCCCACCCCUUUUGGAAAGUGUGUAUGAAAGUCAAGUGCUGUCUUUGUUGGGGCCCAAUCUCUGGAUGUUAAGUCAGCUGAGUCUGAGUGCACUCAAUAAAGAUAUCCUCCUGUAUACACCCCAAGGUCUCUCUCUGGUACUCCUGAUUCCUGCAAAAAGAUGUCAAUUUAUAAACAAUAUACAUGACAGAUGAUAAAACAGCACAAAGAGUGUUGCUGAUUGGUAAUAUUUUGCCAUUAACAUUGUGAUUAGAAAAAAAUACAUAAUUAGGAGGUGCAAUAUGGCAUUUUGGUAUUAUGAUAGUGGUGGCAGGUAACAGAUAUCACCAAAUUCUGCCCUGCCAUUCAAUUCUAUUAUUUACAGGAUUCCUAAGUGCACUGUACACACUACAAAUGUUAUCAGAAAGGAGUUAUACUUUAUGAGUUACUUCACUAGCACAAUAAGUAGGUAUCGAAAAAAAUUGAAAUGUAUCAUGGAGUUUAGGCUUUCCAUGUAAUCUGGGGCUCUUUACUUACCCUAAUUUUGAAAUAGGUCUAUUCAGUGUAUUUUUCAGACGGCUAUUUAGAAAAAAGGAAGCCCAAACUCACCCACCCUGAGUCUAGGUACCCACUUAGCCAUGUAGAUUUAGAGAAAUAGAAAAACCAAACUGCCUUGGUGGACUGGAUUUGGCCAAUAUCUGAUAGGAAGAUGUAAUAUAAAGAAGGGGGAUCAAAUCCUGCCCUUAAGGUAGACAGAAUCUGUCAAGGCUUUAGAGUGUACCAUCAAAGAGUUAACAGCCAACAGAACAAAAUUUAGCGUCAUCACAAUUUUGGAAGUUUUUCAACAGCCCCAUGAUUUAUAAGCUGCCAAUCACUAUUUUUACAUAUAAAUCAUUUCCAGUGGUAGUAAAUGUGCUAAUAUUCUCGAUAUAUGUGAAAAAUAUCACUUAAAAUUUUUUCUUGGAAGAAGCACUUAAUAAUUUGUAAAUCAGAAACAAAUUAUAUGUACUUUCUAAGUAGAUUAGUGUAUUUCUCAUACAUAGAUGAUGGCAUAGAUUUGCUUUUUUAGUAAAUUGUCAGGUAUCAGACUCUAACUUAUGGAACAAAUGAAUAUAAGUAAACUCACU